This 495-nucleotide long non-coding RNA is filed under the name Sorghum bicolor (sorghum). Its description in RNAcentral is "long non-coding RNA (SBIC_LNC013361)". Lineage: Eukaryota; Viridiplantae; Streptophyta; Magnoliopsida; Poales; Poaceae. The record is from RNAcentral.
UUGGUCCAUAUCUCUUUGUUUAUGUCUAUAUAUUGUUUUUUUUUAAAAAAUCUCCCUAUAUUUCUUUUUCUUUCACACAUUUACCCAUCCUUGUCUGUCUAGGCAGCGAACGGCAGCUUCGAGCCUUCGACACCUGCGCGCUUGUUUCGUACGUAACAUAGUGCCGAGCUUACUAAAUCUAUCUAGCGUUUUGUUUCUCAUAACAAAUCAACGAACCGUUAAUUAUAGUUUAUCAGCCAAGCGAAUAAAGUGGCCCUAAAAAAAAGUUCUUCAUGGCAGUACAGCGCUGUGCAUGUAUAUACUUGCUGAAUACCGGAAUUGCUAGAUCCGUCGAAUUCGUCGCAGUCUCGACUCAGCUUUCGUGAUUUUAACGUAGCAACCUGCGGGAUUUUAAUAGAGCUACUAAGUUAGAAAUCAGAGGACACGGAAGCAGGGCGUCACCGUCGAACCCUUUGUCCACAAAAUCAAACGCUUAUAGCACAAGAGAAUGGAUGC